GACGAACGCUGGCGGCGUGCUUAACACAUGCAAGUCGAGCGGUAAGGCCCCUUUUGGGGGGUACACGAGCGGCGAACGGGUGAGUAACACGUGGGUGACCUGCCUUCAGCUCUGGGAUAAGCCUGGGAAACUGGGUCUAAUACCGGAUAUGACCUUUGCCUGCAUGGGUGGGGGUGGAAAGAUUUGUUUUGGCUGGGGAUGGGCCUGCGGUCUAUCAGCUUGUUGGUGGGGUGAUGGCCUACCAAGGCGACGACGGGUAGCCGGCCUGAGAGGGCGACCGGCCACACUGGGACUGAGACACGGCCCAGACUCCUACGGGAGGCAGCAGUGGGGAAUCUUGCGCAAUGGGCGAAAGCCUGACGCAGCGACGCCGCGUGAGGGAUGACGGCCUGGUGUAACU
RNAcentral lists this ribosomal RNA (400 nucleotides) under uncultured bacterium. Its description in RNAcentral is "bacterial SSU rRNA". It matches the Rfam family "Bacterial small subunit ribosomal RNA", at positions 28 to 430 of the family's 1533-position model. The record is from RNAcentral.